Molecule: long non-coding RNA, 118 nt
Organism: Cucurbita maxima (winter squash)
Lineage: Eukaryota; Viridiplantae; Streptophyta; Magnoliopsida; Cucurbitales; Cucurbitaceae
Exons: 2
Source: RefSeq, a predicted model, not a curated record
UUUGUAACAGCUCAAGCCCACUGCUAGCAAAUAUUUUGUCCGCUUUGGUCCGUUACAUAUCAUCGUCAGCCUCACGGUUUUAAAACGCAUCUACUAGGGAGAGGUUUCCACACCCUUA